UGGGGAAUAUUGGACAAUGGGCGCAAGCCUGAUCCAGCCAUGCCGCGUGAGUGAUGAAGGCCCUAGGGUUGUAAAGCUCUUUUACCGGUGAAGAUAAUGACGGUAACCGGAGAAGAAGCCCCGGCUAACUUCGUGCCAGCAGCCGCGGUAAUACGAAGGGGGCUAGCGUUGUUCGGAUUUACUGGGCGUAAAGCGCACGUAGGCGGACUUUUAAGUCAGGGGUGAAGUCCCGGGGCUCAACCCCGGAAGUGCCUUUGAUACUGGAAGUCUUGAGUAUGGUAGGGGUGGGUGGAAUUCCGAGUGUAGGAGUGAAAUUCGUAGAUAUUCGGAGGAACACCAGUGGCGAAGGCGGCUCACUGGACCAUUACUGACGCUGAGGUGCGAAAGCGUGGGGAGCAAACAGG
RNAcentral lists this ribosomal RNA (404 nucleotides) under Actinomycetes bacterium. Its description in RNAcentral is "Actinobacteria bacterium partial 16S ribosomal RNA". It matches the Rfam family "Bacterial small subunit ribosomal RNA", at positions 355 to 776 of the family's 1533-position model. Lineage: Bacteria; Bacillati; Actinomycetota; Actinomycetes. The record is from RNAcentral.